GUGCCAGCAGCCGCGGUAAUACAGAGGGUGCAAGCGUUAAUCGGAUUUACUGGGCGUAAAGCGCGCGUAGGUCGGCUAAUUAAGAUACAAAUGUGAAAUCCCCGAGCUUAACUUGGGAAUUGCAUUCGAUACUCCGUUAGCUAGAGUGUGGGAGAGGAUGGUAGAAUUCCAGGUGUAGCGGUGAAAUGCGUAGAGAUCUGGAGGAAUACCGAUGGCGAAGGCAGCCAUCUGGCCUAACACUGACGCUGAGGUGCGAAAGCAUGGGGAGCAAACAGGAUUAGAUACCCUGGUAGUCC
RNAcentral lists this ribosomal RNA (296 nucleotides) under uncultured microorganism. RNAcentral's name for it is "partial 16S ribosomal RNA". It matches the Rfam family "Bacterial small subunit ribosomal RNA", at positions 505 to 796 of the family's 1533-position model. The record is from RNAcentral.